ACCAAGUCAAAUGUUCACUUCUUCCACCUUGAAUAACUUUUUCCAUGAGCUUCAAAUGGAAAACGUUCCUUUCACCAAAGUUUUAUCUAUUUCAAACAUCUUCAAUUUGGUCACAAAUAUGACCUCAUUUGGAUUUUGCAUGAGGGAGUUAUGCAUUUUAGAAGUUGAGGAAAAUUGCUUGUUCAAUGGUAAUGGCCCAAAAUGACCUAUAGUGUUUCCUC
RNAcentral lists this long non-coding RNA (221 nucleotides) under Lathyrus oleraceus (garden pea). Its description in RNAcentral is "Pisum sativum (pea) long non-coding RNA (PSAT_LNC001651)". Lineage: Eukaryota; Viridiplantae; Streptophyta; Magnoliopsida; Fabales; Fabaceae. The record is from RNAcentral.